This 523-nucleotide ribosomal RNA is filed under the name Vibrio rotiferianus CAIM 577 = LMG 21460. RNAcentral describes it as "bacterial SSU rRNA". It matches the Rfam family "Bacterial small subunit ribosomal RNA", at positions 1 to 503 of the family's 1533-position model. The record is from RNAcentral. Lineage: Bacteria; Pseudomonadati; Pseudomonadota; Gammaproteobacteria; Vibrionales; Vibrionaceae.
AAAUUGAAGAGUUUGAUCAUGGCUCAGAUUGAACGCUGGCGGCAGGCCUAACACAUGCAAGUCGAGCGGAAACGAGUUAUCUGAACCUUCGGGGAACGAUAGCGGCGUCGAGCGGCGGACGGGUGAGUAAUGCCUAGGAAAUUGCCCUGAUGUGGGGGAUAACCAUUGGAAACGAUGGCUAAUACCGCAUAAUGCCUACGGGCCAAAGAGGGGGACCUUCGGGCCUCUCGCGUCAGGAUAUGCCUAGGUGGGAUUAGCUAGUUGGUGAGGUAAUGGCUCACCAAGCGACGAUCCCUAGCUGGUCUGAGAGGAUGAUCAGCACACUGGAACUGAGACACGGUCCAGACUCCGUACGGGAGGCAGCAGUGGGGAAUAUUGCACAAUGGGCGCAAGCCUGAUGCAGCCAUGCCGCGUGUGUGAAGAAGGCCGUUCGGGUUGUAAAGCACUUUCAGUCGUGAGGAAGGUAGUGUAGUUAAUAGCUGCAUUAUUUGACGUUAGCGACAGAAGAAGCACCGGCUAACUC